AGUAGAUAUCACCAGUCCUAGUGAACUGCAGCAUGUUCGACAGAGCUCGAUUUUUAACAAUAGUGGAACCCGGCCCCGGGAAACAGUGAUCGGAAGUCAAGAAAGUAUACAGUUUGGGUUGGAUGGAUCACAACCGGUGGAGCAUGGGUUGGAUGGAUCACAACCGGUGGAGCAUGGGUUCGAUGGA
Long non-coding RNA from Juglans regia (Persian walnut), 187 nucleotides. RefSeq lists it as uncharacterized. NCBI's taxonomy places the organism in Eukaryota, Viridiplantae, Streptophyta, Magnoliopsida, Fagales, Juglandaceae. The transcript has 3 exons. The record is from RefSeq and is a predicted model, not a curated record.